UGCGUUUUGGUUUGCAGAGAAAUUGUGUCACCGAGAUGCUUCUCUGAUUCGCCGGAGAAGAGAACGCCGGCAAUUCUGAAUUGCUCCAGCUCGCUGCGUCACCUUAUUCCUCCAUCCUUCAAAUAAGGAUAAGGUAAUCUCGAAAGCUUUCAAUUGUUGGUGUUUGGUGUCGUGAAAGAUCGAAUGAAUUCGGAGGUUACAGCUCGAGAUGUUGAUGAUGUGAUUGGGCAUUUUGACAUCAGAUUAUGGAAAUGCAUAUUUCGUUUUUGACUUAAUCAAGUCUUUAGAUUCUGAAAACUACUUGCUAUUCAAGUCCAUCUGUUUUUAAAAGAUUAUAAUAACUAUCAAGUACUUGAAUAUGCAGAGGUUCACCAUAGCUAAGCUCAUUAUUAAGCUUCCCAUUGAGAAACCAAACUCAGACCAUCAAUUAGUUUUCUUCUUUCUUAUUUUUUCAUUUUGGAUGGAAGAAGUACUUUGAGUCUUUGAGUUCAGCUAUCCGAUCUCCAUUUCAAAGAAAAAUUGGGAACAAGAACUUUAGGAGUGUGAUGCGAAACAAUCUCUGUGUAUGUAUUUGGUUGCAAAGAUAAUGAUGUUGCUGAUUUUGAGACCUGGCCAGAGUUUCAUCAUAAUGCUGUUGCUGGACUGGCUCCGCUUCAGGACCAUGAGAGCACCACGGUAGGUUUGAUGCUUGGUCUGGCAGCUUCGUACUGGAGAACCUGACUAUUGCAAAGCGAGUCAACCAGAAAACCCUUUCGAUACCAAGCUUCAUAUGCUGAGUUUGAGAUACUAACACUUCUACAGGUACAGAUUGCUGUGGUGUUUCACUUAUUGAAAGUAUAUUUUAGUUCUCCACAAGCAAUUACUGAAACUAGAAGUUGUUUGAUUUGCUGUGGAAUUUACUUACAUACGCUAAAAGUAAGGAAUUGAGAAGAGUCAUUUGCAUAAUGUUAAGACUAUUUGUACUAGUAACCACUGCAAAAGGGGAUAUACAACAAACUUUUUUUUUUUCAUUUGGAUACAGAAGGUUGGUGAAUAUGUAUACAUUACAUUAUACGUGUGGGGUGUGCUGAUCGACUACAUGUAUAUGCACAGAAGGGUAAAUCCCUUGUGUUAGAUUUCUUACAUUUGUGGAAGAAAGAAAAAUUGUCAGUGUCUUGUUGUUUUUAUAUUGUCUUCUUGCAUAUGUUCUUGAGUCUCUCCAGAGCUUUAAGUUUAUAUAUGUCGGAGCAAUUUAUGCUUCUGGAGUUGGGUUAACAUCUGCAGCUGAAGGCUGUCGAGUCCCGUAGUUCCACAGGUCUCUGAGUUCUCUCCUCACCAACCCGAGUAUGACCGUGAUUCCUGCCCAAGUGUUCCGCACAACAUUAUAUUUAUUAAAAUGACUAGAGAGAAUACCGAGGGUGCAAGGGACGAGGUAGAGCAAUGCAGGUUGACCAUGUCCGUUCAUAACAUACAAUCCCAAGUAUGUCAAGAAUAGUCCAAGUCCGUAGCCGAAUAUCAACCACGGGAAAUAUCCUUUCAAGGUUCCUUUGUUAUUUUCCUUGUCAUAUCUG
Long non-coding RNA from Eutrema salsugineum, 1550 nucleotides. RefSeq lists it as uncharacterized. The record is from RefSeq and is a predicted model, not a curated record. NCBI's taxonomy places the organism in Eukaryota, Viridiplantae, Streptophyta, Magnoliopsida, Brassicales, Brassicaceae. The transcript has 4 exons.